Rosa rugosa (rugosa rose) is the source of this 774-nucleotide long non-coding RNA. RefSeq lists it as uncharacterized. The record is from RefSeq and is a predicted model, not a curated record. The transcript is spliced from 3 exons. Lineage: Eukaryota; Viridiplantae; Streptophyta; Magnoliopsida; Rosales; Rosaceae.
UUUGCCGCCACUAAAAUUCUUCCCGCUGCCUCAAAUAUUUGAUCAUCCUGCCCAUAUCCCUAAAAUUGUGGAGCCUCUACACGCUACUCUUCUACUACCUCCAGCGAUGAAACUCCAAUAAACCUAAAAGAUUGAAAAUUUCACGGCUUCUCUUCCAUCGCCCAUCACUCUCUCUCUCGCAUAGUUCUCCUUUUUCCCUCUUAUUCUGUCUCAGCACGUCUUAUUCUUCUUUAUCUUCUGGUUAAUCUAAGCUCUAAUCCUCUUGAUCUCUCUUUACAGGUGCCUCCAUUCCAGAUCUGCUCCGAAACAAAAAUUGAAAGAAGUUUGGCAGUGGGCAAUAGUACAAGAGGCUUGUUUCGAUUCUAUGAUUGGUCUUGUUUAGGAUUUGAGGAUAAAACUUCAGGCUUCCCAGGGGCUUCAUCUGCUCAGCCUGCUUCUACUAAUGGAGAUUCUGAAACACAUGCCACUAUGCCAGAAAAACAAUCAGACGACAGAGGAGAUCUGUCGUCUGAUUAAAAAUAUUUCUGUUGUCUAGUACGGUGCCGUCUCUUGGGGCAUCAGACGACAGAUUUCCUCUGUCGUCUUAUUUAUCAGACGACAGAAAUUUGUUAGGUCUUCUGUUGUCUGAUGAAAUCGAGACAUGAGGCUAGUGAAUUCAAACGACAGAUAAAUGUCGUGUGAUCUAGAAACAAAUAACAGUUCCUUAUAAUUUGUAUGAUCUAAUGCUUAUUCCAAAGACAGAAAAAUGUGGUUUGAAUGCACUGAAGUAGAAGA